This is a long non-coding RNA of Thalassophryne amazonica, 905 nucleotides long. RefSeq lists it as uncharacterized. The transcript is spliced from 2 exons. The record is from RefSeq and is a predicted model, not a curated record. Lineage: Eukaryota; Metazoa; Chordata; Actinopteri; Batrachoidiformes; Batrachoididae.
UCAAAGACCACUCGCUCCCAUUCGCAGAGGACACGCCAUUAACAGGGAUGCUAUGGUAUCCUAGCAGCUGAAUUUACCGGAGCAUCUCGUACAUCUUUUUCCUUAUCCAGAUAACAGGACAGUGCUUUUAUUUUUUUAAGGAUGCAAUAUAAGAAUGGUUGAAUACCAUCUCGGAUGAAUGGAAAUGUUGCUCAGAUGACUAAUUUGUUUCUUGGACGCUUGUUUCUUGGACGUCGGCCAUCUUUCAACAUGUAUUAUGAGUGGAAGGAGAAGACAUAGUGAAAGUGUUAUGGUUAUAGUUAUGGGACAAAUAUGAUUUGACAUACUGCAUAGUAAGGAGAAGCUGGCAUUCUAAUGUGAUGGCCUGCUGCCAACACAUCAUUCAGCAAAGACCACCUGAAAGGAUGUUUUCACUGAUGGGCAAGACAGCCACAAGCAGGCGGCCAACUACAUCUUGGCAAGGACCGAAGAAAAGAGGAAAGCGGGAAUGAAGAGGAAAGAAGAGAACACCCCCUGCACAGAUCUGUGAGAGGGGCUGAGCUGGUAGCACAAACCAUGGGGAGUACCCAAGCAUGUGUCAGGUUGGCAUUCAUCUGAGAAUGUCUUGGCAAACGAUGCAUUCCUCUUCCCUCCCACCCGCGCUCACACCACAAACACACUGUUGCACUGCUUGGAACACAUGGUACAUCAGCAGCGGCAUCUGGCCCGCGCGACUCCCGGCAGCUGCGCUUCGUCUUCACCAGUUGGGAGUCUUGGCACUGCCACUUCAUCAACUACCUGUGGCUCCUCCCGGGUUGUAAAAGGCAAGCGAUAAAUUAUUCCAAUUGCUGCAGCUGCAAACUUGAUUUUCUUCCAAGAGAUUCACUGUAAACAUGAGUACCUCACAGCGCAUACACGCCACCCAC